This 187-nucleotide antisense RNA is filed under the name 'Nostoc azollae' 0708. RNAcentral describes it as "Antisense RNA which regulates isiA expression". It matches the Rfam family "Antisense RNA which regulates isiA expression". The record is from Rfam by way of RNAcentral. Lineage: Bacteria; Bacillati; Cyanobacteriota; Cyanophyceae; Nostocales; Nostocaceae.
GAUAACCAAAGAUGAUCGCUGGAUUGAGUGUGGGGUUAGUAAUAACACGCACAUCACCACCACCGGGUGCCCAGGUAUCAUAGACACCGCCGAAAAACAUAGCCUUUAACACCAACAGCAGCGCACCACAUCCCAAGAUGAUAAGGUGGAAGCCGAUGAUGUUGGUCAUUUUGUUCUUGUCUUUCCA